This 65-nucleotide transfer RNA is filed under the name Leptocentrus albolineatus. RNAcentral describes it as "tRNA-Ser". RNAcentral also lists the same sequence under 1 other name. Lineage: Eukaryota; Metazoa; Arthropoda; Insecta; Hemiptera; Membracidae. The record is from RNAcentral.
AGUUAAUUAGUUUAAAUUAAAACUUGUAUUUUGAAAAUACAGUAUAGAUAAAUAUUUAUUAACUU